Molecule: non-coding RNA, 65 nt
Filed under: Streptomyces sp. H34-S4
Lineage: Bacteria; Bacillati; Actinomycetota; Actinomycetes; Kitasatosporales; Streptomycetaceae
Source: RNAcentral
AGGCGAAACCGCCCGGAAGGGCGGUCGGUCGGAGUGGAUCUCCGAUCCUGAUGAGCCAACCAAGU